AUUCUAGUAGCUUAACACAAAG
This 22-nucleotide transfer RNA is filed under the name Testudo graeca. RNAcentral's name for it is "transfer RNA-Thr". The record is from RNAcentral. Lineage: Eukaryota; Metazoa; Chordata; Testudines; Testudinidae.